Molecule: ribosomal RNA, 442 nt
Filed under: uncultured bacterium
Lineage: Bacteria
Description: partial 16S ribosomal RNA
Rfam family: Bacterial small subunit ribosomal RNA
Source: RNAcentral
CCUACGGGAGGCAGCAGUGGGGAAUAUUGGGCAAUGGGCGCAAGCCUGACCCAGCAACGCCGCGUGAAGGAAGAAGGCUUUCGGGUUGUAAGCUUCUUUUAAGAGGGAAGAGCAGAAGACGGUACCUCUUGAAUAAGCCACGGCUAACUACGUGCCAGCAGCCGCGGUAAUACGUAGGUGGCAAGCGUUGUCCGGAUUUACUGGGGGUAAAGGGCGUGCAGCCGGGAAGACAAGUCAGAUGUGAAAUCCCGCGGCUCAACCGCGGAACUGCAUUUGAAACUGUUUUUCUUGAGUACCGGAGAGGUCAUCGGAAUUCCUUGUGUAGCGGUGAAAUGCGUAGAUAUAAGGAAGAACACCAGUGGCGAAGGCGGAUGACUGGACGGCAACUGACGGUGAGGCGCGAAAGCGUGGGGAGCAAACAGGAUUAGAUACCCGGGUAGUC